This is a long non-coding RNA of Papaver somniferum (opium poppy), 2442 nucleotides long. RefSeq lists it as uncharacterized. The record is from RefSeq and is a predicted model, not a curated record. The transcript is spliced from 2 exons. NCBI's taxonomy places the organism in Eukaryota, Viridiplantae, Streptophyta, Magnoliopsida, Ranunculales, Papaveraceae.
GGAAUGUUAUAAACAACCCUACUAUCCAUGGAUCUAUCACAAAUACCCUUUAGAAACUUUACAAAUACCCUUGAUGACAUAAUUGAAAAUUCCUUUAAAAACUUAAUAACCAUAAUUCCGUUUUUAGCCUCUCUUACUUCGUUCUUCUUCAUUUCAAAUAACGGAAGAAAAAAAAACUCAUCGCUCCCACCACCAUCAUCUCCAUCACCCCUACCAAUACCAAGAUCUAUCACCGCCACCAUAACUAGCACCACCAUCUCUGUUACCUUCGCCACUAGUAUCAACAGAUUUUCCAUGAUUUGUGUUCCAUUUCAAAACAGUUUCAGAGAUCGAUUUGAUUUUUAAUUUUCGAUUUAGUAAUUUCGAGUUGAGAUUCAGAUUUCGGGUGGGUUUUUAGUUAAAGAUUCGGAGUCAGUGAUUUGAGCUCGAGAUUCGUUGAUUCUGAAACUGGAUAUACUGGUGAUGGUGUUUGAUUUGAAUCUGUGGUGCAAUGGUAUGAAGUCGGGGAUUGAUUUGAAUGAAGUGAGAGGUUGAGUUGAAGCAGAAAUGAAAUAGCUAUAUGGGAGUCUGUUGAAGUCAGGGUUUGAUGGAGGUUGAAGAGAUGAUCCAGAGUGUGAGAAGGGUUUAAAAAGAAUCAAAGAAGGAAAUAUAUCUGGUAAUAAUGAUUGUGUUAUGGACUGAAAUUGUGUUCUUGAUGUCAUCGGUUCUGUUGGUGGAUGAAUUGGUUGGAGAUGUAGAAGAUGGCGAGCUGCUGCUGAUGGGAAGUGAAAGACACGAAGUUGAUUGUGGAUCUGUUGAUGACUGUGAAUGCAAGAGAAGCUUGAGAGGGUGGCAACAAUGGAAUGACUGGUAGAUGAAUGUUAGGAUUUGAUGUUUCGCUUGAGCUGAAGUUGAUUUGCUGCUGAUGAUUUCAGAGUUGUAAGAGGUGGUGUUAUCUGGUGGUGGUUUGAAUUGAUGGUUGGUUUGUUGAGGAAGAGAACUGGAGUUAAGAGCUGGAGCUGUUAUGAUUGAAUUUGUUGAAGAUUUGGGUUAUUUUAGAAUUGAUAGUGUUAUGAUUGAAGAUUUGAGUUUGUUAUGAUUGAAGUGUAGUUGUUGUGAUUGGUUAGUCUGAAAUGGAGAGGGUUUACUGGUGCCAUGUCAAAUUCAGGUGCAUAUGAAAGAUUACAGUGCAUAUAGCGGGAUGGUGUUGUUGUUGAAGUGAUCGAUGGAAUCGAAUUGCAGGAAAUGCAAGAUAGCAUUGUAGGCUGAGUUAAAAUGUUUGCGAGUAUGAGAUGGUUAUAGAUGCAAUUGAGAAGAUGAGUUUUGUCGGUGGAUUGUGGAGUGUAGAUGAAGUAGUCGUUGGUUUGCAGUUGCAGGUAGUUAUACUUUGGUGGAUUGUGGAGUGUAGAUGAAGUAGUCGUUGGUUUGCAGUUGCAGGUAGUUAUACUUUGGAUGCAGUGUAUAAGAUGUUGUACUAAGAUUGCAUAGAUUGGCUUGAACUUGUGAUGGAAAUGGUGUUGCAGUUAGGGAGAUAUUGCCGUGAGUUGGAGUUUUGAUUUCUGGUAUUGAUCUCGUUGGAGUUUGGUGGUAUGUACAGCAGAGAGAUAUGCAAGAGAUUGAGUAUUUGAAAUUGAUUUUGAGAUUUCGAUAUCAGUUGCCUUAAGACAACUUGUGCAAGUUUCCUUCAUAUACGGAGACAACUUUGUCCAGUUACCUCCAUAUACCUCUAUAUAUGAAGACAACUAUGGAGAUGAGAGUGUCGUCUAGUAUAAUCACAUAUGAGAUGAUGGACGAAGUUGUUUAUGAUGUGUUGAUGUUAACUGGAAGUAAAUAUGCUAUGGAGAACAGAAGGCAUAAUAUAAGAAGACAUCGAGAUGGUUGUGUUGCUGAUGCUUAUGUUUUGAAGUCAAAAGAAUAGAUGAAUGCUUAGGAAGUUGAGCAGUGGCUGAAUAUGUAUGCAGGCAGUGAAGAGCAGAACAAGGAGUUGUUGGUGCUUGUGUGUUGCUGAUGGUGUUUGAGUAACGGAUAUGGAAGUGAUUGCAGCUGUUGGCUCAUGUUGCAAGUGUUUGUAGAUGGUUGUGGUCAUGAAGCUGUUGCAGGUAGAGUUGCAGUAUGGUGAAUAUGUGAGUCAGCUUAUGGGGUAAAUGAAUUGACUGGUGAUGAUAGUGCAGUUGUUACUGGUGAUGAUAGUGCAAUUGCACUGAGCUAGAAGUGUAGGUGGUAAAUGAAUUCAUUUGUGUAUAUUUUUAUUUUUUGGAGACAACUUGUGAUAGUUGCCUCUAUAUUUGGAGACAACUUGGGCUAGUUGCUUUCAUUUUUGAAAACAACUUUGUGCUAGUUGCCUUUACUUUUGAAGACAACUUGAGCUAGUUGUCUCAUAUUCAGAGACAACUUGAGUUAGUUGGCUCCAUUUUGUUUUGCAACUUGUUUAUGUAUACUAUUUGUUGGAGACAACUUGAGCUA